AGUGAACGCUGGCGGUAGGCCUAACACAUGCAAGUCGAACGGCAGCACAGUAAGAGCUUGCUAUUACGGGUGGCGAGUGGCGGACGGGUGAGGAAUACAUCGGAAUCUACUUUUUCGUGGGGGAUAACGUAGGGAAACUUACGCUAAUACCGCAUACUACCUACGGGUGAAAGCAGAGGAACUUUGGACCUUGCGCGAUUGAAUGAGCCGAUGUCGGAUUAGCUAGUUGGCGGGGUAAAGGCCCACCAAGGCGACGAUCCGUAGCUGGUCUGAGAGGACGACAAGGCAAAAGGGGACAGAGACACGGCACAGACGCCUACGGGAGGCAGCAGUGGGGAAUGGUGGACAAUGGGCGGAAGCCUGAUCCAGCAAUGCCGCGGGAGGGAAGAAGGCCUGCGGGUUGUAAAGCGCGUGUGGCAGGAACGAAACGGUGUCCGCUAAGACCCGGCGCUAAUGACGGGACCGGCAGAAUAAGCACCGGCGAACUACGUG
Molecule: ribosomal RNA, 492 nt
Filed under: uncultured bacterium
Lineage: Bacteria
Description: partial 16S ribosomal RNA
Rfam family: Bacterial small subunit ribosomal RNA
Source: RNAcentral